UCCGACUUAACGUCGGCAGUCCCUUUAGAGUGCCCAACUAAAUGCUGGCAACUAAAGGCAAGGGUUGCGCUCGUUGCGGGACUUAACCCAACAUCUCACGACACGAGCUGACGACAACCAUGCACCACCUGUACACCGCCCUUGCGGACCCCGUAUCUCUACGAGUUUUCGGUGCAUGUCAAGCCUUGGUAAGGUUCUUCGCGUUGCGUCGAAUUGAACCACAUGCUCCGCUGCUUGUGCGGGCCCCCGUCAAUUCCUUUGAGUUUUAGCCUUGCGGCCGUACUCCCCAGGCGGGGUGCUUAAUGCGUUAGCUGCGGCACGGAACUCGUGGAAUGAGCCCCACACCUAGCGCCCAACGUUUACGGCGUGGACUAC
Molecule: unclassified non-coding RNA, 375 nt
Filed under: uncultured Actinomycetes bacterium
Lineage: Bacteria; Bacillati; Actinomycetota; Actinomycetes
Description: uncultured actinobacterium contains 16S-23S intergenic spacer region
Source: RNAcentral